RNAcentral lists this ribosomal RNA (497 nucleotides) under uncultured bacterium. RNAcentral describes it as "partial 16S ribosomal RNA". It matches the Rfam family "Bacterial small subunit ribosomal RNA", at positions 28 to 507 of the family's 1533-position model. The record is from RNAcentral.
GACGAACGCUGGCGGCGUGCCUAAUACAUGCAAGUUGAGCGCUGAAGGUUGGUACUUGUACCAACUGGAUGAGCAGCGAACGGGUGAGUAACGCGUGGGGAAUCUGCCUUUGAGCGGGGGACAACUUUUGGAAACGAAUGCUAAUACCGCAUAAAAACUUUAAACACAAGUUUUAAGUUUGAAAGCUGCAAUUGCAUCACUCAAAGAUGAUCCCGCGCUGUAUUAGCUAGUUGGUGAGGUAAAGGCUCACCAAGGCGAUGAUACAUAGCCGACCUGAGAGGGUGAACGGCCACAUUGGGACUGAGAAACGGCCCAAACUCCCACGGGAGGGAGCAGUAGGGAAGCUUCGGGAAUGGACGAAAGGCUGACCGAGGAACGCCGCGUGAGUGAAGAAGGUUUUCGGAUCGUAAAACUCUGGUGGUAGGGAAGAACGUUGGUGGGAGUGGAAAGCGCAUCAAGUGACGGUAACUACCCAGAAAGGGACGGCUAACUACGUG